This 705-nucleotide long non-coding RNA is filed under the name Arachis ipaensis. RNAcentral describes it as "long non-coding RNA (AIPA_LNC001857)". Lineage: Eukaryota; Viridiplantae; Streptophyta; Magnoliopsida; Fabales; Fabaceae. The record is from RNAcentral.
GCCGUCCAUAUUAUGGUUGUGCAUGAUUCAACUAACUCUUCAACUGUCUGCAUCUUUGGCCACCAUGGCUUAUCUUUCAAAUCACCAUGACCUACCUCAACAGCUUCUUUCCACCAAUUUUGGAGUUCAGGGUCUUUUUUGAGAUCAUUGUCUGUUGGAUAGUACAAUGAGACAUAAUCUUGAACCCAUUCCUUAAUGGCAAACCAUAUCUCUAGUCCAUCAACAGCAUAAGGGUAGUCUUCUAUUACAAGACGAAUUCCAUAAGGAGAAGAUGAAUCCUCCACUGCCAUUCCUCUAAAUCAUCCAAAACAUAAAACAUGUUACUUAGAUAAGUUCAUGCUUAUAAUAGAAUGAAGAGUUUUAUGUUACCUCUUGAUGAGAUCAGCAGGUAGUGCUUGAUCAGUGAAAACCCAGUUCUUAUAAACAGCUGAAGACAUCUCCACAGAAAACUUGGAGGGCAAGAAGGUUCUUUCUAUUAUGCCAUCAGAAUUAAUCAGAUUCUGCCUAGCAAGUGCAUUGAUGUUCAUAGUGUCACGGUAGUGUGGAGAUAAAAGUUUAUAAAUUGGGUGAAUCACACUUAGCUGUCUAUUUGUUGCUAUCACAAAUGGCUCAAUAACUGCAUGAGUAUUCAACCUAUAAACACACACAAAAAAAGAAAAAUUAGGAAAUUUAUAUUGUGGUGAUUGAAAUAUGAAAAAAUUUUAG